UGGCAGAAUCUUUCUUCAAAUUGUAGC
This 27-nucleotide non-coding RNA is filed under the name Mus musculus (house mouse). The record is from RNAcentral. Lineage: Eukaryota; Metazoa; Chordata; Mammalia; Rodentia; Muridae.